This 1164-nucleotide long non-coding RNA is filed under the name Apteryx rowi (Okarito brown kiwi). Its description in RNAcentral is "lncRNA (ENSARWG00000002886.1)". The record is from RNAcentral. Lineage: Eukaryota; Metazoa; Chordata; Aves; Apterygiformes; Apterygidae.
AAAUCUGCCUGCUGUGUGUUAUGUAACCCAGAGCCUCAGAAUAAUACCGCUUCAUUCCUUUAUAUAACAUUAAUUAAGCAAGAAGUAAAUGAGUUACGAUAAGUCUUGAUAAGUGGUAUCAUUGUGGAAUACCUAAUGUAGAGUAUUUCUCCAAGUAGAAAUAUUUCAUGAUUUUGCUGUUUUAUAGAAGGAAUAUUUCUCCAAAAACUUUAGAUUGCCUUAUCAGAGUGAGACUGAAGGGGUGUAAAUCAGUGCUGUUCUACUGAGCACUUCUGAUGAAAAUUGAUAUAGGUUCACUGUGCUCACUGGUGCUAUACUGAUUUACAUCACUUGAAGAUUUUGCCCUGCAUGUUUAGAAGUAUGACUAUAAUUAGAACUAAAUUCUGCCUUGCCAUCAUUAUUCAAGGUUGCAUAUAUUGGUGAUGGGGAGAAAGAAGCUUUCUCAGCACAGUCUAGGUGGGGGCUGAAAUUCUAUGAAGGCUUAGAUAUAAUGGUUAUUCAUCUAUGGAGAAUGACACCUGGGUAUAUAAGGUUAUUGCAGACUCAAGCUUCAGGAAAAAUAGUUAUCAACUCAACAGACAUACUGCUGCCACAUACAGCCUUGCUACUGGGAAUGUUUGGGAUCAGUAUAUCCAGCUACAGCACACACCAGCUAGCUCAAGAGAAGAAACUUCCCUUGACCCUUUCAGCUGCAUUGGGAUGUGACCCAAGAAAUAAACGCUUAUGUCAGUAGUGCUGAUGAGUGGCUUUUCACUCUCAGUUAUCAGUCUGAAGGUCAUGAGACACUUUGCAGUCCUGAUUUCCUCAUGCAAACUUGAAAAAACUGAAGAAUCACAGAUUUCUUCGGGAAAGAAAAAAGAAUAAUGACAACAGAGGCAUUAGAUUUCCAAGUAAGAUGAAUUGUCUGUAAACACGAUGGAUUUUUUUCAUUUUUCAGUGUAUACAUAGAGAGAAAUUUAAAGGUAUAAAGUACAGUUAAAAUCAGAGUAGGUAUAAAGAUAUCGAUGGGGGUACCAUGCUCAGUUAAGGUCACCUUGUUACAGCUUUUGCAAAUAGACUCCUAUACAAAGACUUGAUUUGAAAAGGAAAGUUGGAAGCAGUAUAUUCUUCAUGACAAGUGUUAGAGCAAAUAAAGCAUCGCUCAUAGACUCUUAGUACUGUUAU